CCUACGGGAGGCAGCAGUGGGGGAUAUUGCACAAUGGGGGGAACCCUGAUGCAGCGACGCCGCGUGGGUGAAGAAGCGCCUCGGCGCGUAAAGCCCUGUCAGCAGGGAAGAAAAUGAUGGUACCUGAAGAAGAAGCCCCGGCUAACUACGUGCCAGCAGCCGUGGUAAUACGUAGGGGGCAAGCGUUAUCCGGAUUUACUGGGUGUAAAGGGGGCGCAGACGGCGUUGCAAGCCAGGAGUGAAAGUCCUGGGCCCAACCCCGGGACUGCUGUUGGAACUGCGUGGCUGGAGUGCAGGAGGGGCAGGCGGAAUGCCUGGUGUAGCGGUGAAAUGCAUAGAUAUCAGGAAGAACACCGGUGGCGAAGGCAGCCUGCUGGACUGCAACUGACGUUGAGGCCCGAAAGCGUGGGGAGCAAACAGGAUUAGAUACCCCUGUAGUC
RNAcentral lists this ribosomal RNA (440 nucleotides) under uncultured bacterium. RNAcentral describes it as "partial 16S ribosomal RNA". It matches the Rfam family "Bacterial small subunit ribosomal RNA", at positions 338 to 795 of the family's 1533-position model. The record is from RNAcentral.